Molecule: non-coding RNA, 302 nt
Filed under: Trichobilharzia regenti
Lineage: Eukaryota; Metazoa; Platyhelminthes; Trematoda; Strigeidida; Schistosomatidae
Description: Eukaryotic small subunit ribosomal RNA
Rfam family: Eukaryotic small subunit ribosomal RNA
Source: Rfam by way of RNAcentral
GUCUAAGUACAUACCUUAAAACGGUAAAACCGUGAAUGGCUCAUUAAAUCAGCUAUGGUUCCUUAGAUCAUAUAUACUACAUUGAUAACUGUAGUAAUUCUAUAGCUAAUACAUGCAAUUAUACCCUGACCCGCAAGGGAAUGGGUGCAUUUAUUAGAACAGAACCAACCGGGGCAGUUUCGGCUGUCUCUGUCGAAUUCUGUGAUGACUCUGGAUAACUUCAAUGAUCGCAGUCGACCUUGUAUCGGCGACGGAUCUUUCAUAUGUCUGCGAUAAAAAUAGCUCUUAGUUUUAGGUUGGAG